AGUGUUGUUCAUAUAUCUAUUGGAUUUAUAUAUGUACAUAUAAUAUGUUCACUAACAUUACUCCAAUUUUGACAAAGCUAGCAGUGAAGCUUUUUUGUAGCUGCCUUCCUGCCUAGUAUGUAGACAAUCUGCACAUUCUUUAGUGUGUUUUGUUCACCAUUAAAUUAUGCCAUACACUAUGUUAAAAAGUGUAGUAUCUGUUUAAUUAUGCUCAGAGAAAGAGCUCUUGUAGGGUCUGAAUUUUUACAAAGUCAAUUUUUUCCCUUGCUCUGUCAACCACUUUAAAAUUUCACCCAGUUAGAAUUAGAAUACAUACAGGCAGCCCAUGUCAUUUGGUUUUGGCAAUUUUGAAUUCUCAGCAAUACUUACACUGUCACUCCAUAAUAAAUCCAUUCUAUACUACUUUGCUUUCCAUUAACUUCUUUUGUUUAGUAAAGUCUCCCUUUUUUGAGGGGUUAAGGGCUGUUCACUAUUUUUAGUUAUUUCAGGAGUGGGGAGACUCAGCAACAAUAAAUACUGACCUUCAACACAUGCCCAGUAACAAGAGGUCUGUUCCUAAAAAAUGCUUCUACUGGCAGGUUUUGUGGAGCACACGUUACUAUACAUAUUUCAGUACUGAAGAUGUUGUACUGAUGGAUUCACAGUUGACAAAGCAGGCCCAUAGCUAGCAAGCACAAAUCUACCCCACACAAAGUUCCUUUCAUACAAUCAAGCUGAAUUAUUGCUCCUGCCUUGUAGCAGCAUGAGCCCAAAUCCCAUACAAAUUGCAACAUUUCUUGAACAUGGACAGAGAGCCUGUGUUUGUGCAAAGACUGAUUACGUGAUGGCUCAAAACUUCUACCAGAGCAUGUGAAAAUGUGCACUCAGUGAUGCAUUUGUUCUAACGUGUAGUUAAACUGUUUAUUCAGAUUUCAUUUUUUGUGUGCAUUUGUUCUAUAGCAGGAGUGAAGUCUUUCUCCCCUCCCUUUUGAGUCUUCUGAGCUCUUGAUCUAUCCAUGUUACUAGUGCCUGGGAUAGAGAAGAAAAGGUUCAAAUUCUGUGCAAGUCCCUCUCAGAGAAGAAGAUUCCAUAGAUCUUCAUUGAAAGAACACAGUUCUUUGCCUCAUGAGCUCCCACCGCUUUCCUUCUGAAUCAAUUGUAGCUUUGUCUGAUCCCUAAAGUUCUAAAUAGAAAUCCCAACUCUGUGAGGAGGAGGCUUUAGAUACCAUAAUCCUCACUGAAAGCAAGCCCAACUCUUGCAACUUCUAAGUAAAGUACUGGCAUUGCCUUUCUUCUCCUACCUAGAAGCCCAAAUCCCACACUAAGCCAUCAGAUUCCUAGUAAAGUCCUUCCCCCAAACUUCCCUUGUUGCACUAUGAUUUACUUCACAGUUCCCUUUGUCAGUGAGACUCUUUAGAAAGAGUUUGCCACCAUGGAAUAUCCCUAACUCCUAAUCUGAUGGAUGUCUUCUGGGGAGGUUGUGAGCAGACUACUCCGCUCCCAAGACAGUGUAGAGAGGAACUGGGAGCACAAUACACUGACCACACUAGCAAAAGAAAGUGUACCCAAGGUUUUGUUAGACUUUGGUCAGCCAAUAACUAGACAGUUGCUGUAUGUAGGACUUUUAGCUCUAAAACUUUGCAAGCAGGAGUGUAGUGUUUUUAUUAGAAACUAUACUCUUCAAGUAGUAUGUACUACUGCAGGCGAUCUGAGGAAUGGAAUAUACAUACAUUUAAAGGGAGAUGGUUGUGAUUUUUAGCUUGUCAACUUUAACAGUGUCUCUUCAGACUGCAAGUAGCAAAGAGAUUUAGUAACAAGAAAAUAAAUAUUUCAUAAGAUGGUUGAUGUCACCGGAAGGAGUUGGUUCUACUAGGGGUUUCUUUAUUUCACUUACAUUUACUGUUAUUGUGGGCAAGCUACAGUGUAAGAAUAAGUUACCAUAUCCUGGGCAAAAUUCCAGGUUGAGUCGUUGGUGCCACAAAUAAGUUAUUAGCUCCGAACAAACUCUUGCCAAACCGAUUACUGUUUAACUGUAGAGCUGCAAACAAAGUUAACAUUUUGAUCAACAGUGGAGAUUUGGGAAGCAGCUUAAAAAAUAUCCUGCUCCUUGUGCCCCUCAAAGCAUUACACUUCUGACGCACACUUUGAACGAGAUAAAGGUAGUUAGCGUUGCAGCAUCGUAGGAGCACGGUUAAUGGGGGAGAUUGGGAGUCAGUAAUAUAAACCUUGUUUAUAUUUCCUACACUGCCACUGACUGGCUUUGUGACCUCAGGGAAGUUCCUUAACUUGUGUUCCAGUUUCUCAACCUUUACAAUUAGGAUACUCUUACCUAGUUCUACAAAAGCUGUGCCCAUCCAACGGUCCCCACUCAGAAAGAUUUCCCUAGCUGAGAGAUGCUGGCCUUUAGUCCUGACUCACUUGUGAUAGUGGUAGGCUGUCCCAUUGUACACUAGUUUGGAUGGAUGGUGUGCUGUAAUUUGGUACAACUAUGCUGCUCCAUUUGGCCCGUCCUACACUGGGACGUACCAGUGCCAUUCCCUUCUAUUCAGGAUUGCUGCAGCCCAAUUCUGCUGUGUCACUGCCACAUGUGGGGUAAAGGGCCUGUUACAGUGGGAAUGCAAGAGAUGGUUCCAUGCUCACAUCACUACAUGGUGUAUGGGCAGCUGCAAGUCUAGUAGGAGUGAGCACACACUGAGAUUUGAAGCUGUGCCAUAGGUCCUUCCCCUUUAGGGGAGGGGCACACAAGACAACAGUAGCCUGAGUCAGGCUCUGGCUUGGAGCCCAAGGUGUAGCUUGUUGUGCAGUUCCUAUGGAGAUGGGGGAGUACUGACCCUCAUCCAACGCAGCAGUAAUUCCAGCCUUCAUUGCAGAUCUCCAGCGGCUUGUUCAGAAGGAAAAGCAAGACGUAUCCUCUCUGGAGGAGGCUCUAACAAAGCUGGUGUAAUCAAGUAUCACUAAUGCGAUGAUGACCACAGCUUACGUAACACCAAGUCCCCACACUGUUAAACAAUGGCAACUAGAGAGUUUAGGACUCCUUGCAGAAAACACAGUGAAGUCCAUCAGAGUGUCUUCCAGUAAAAUCCAGACCACUGGGAGCUUGAACACAAGGUUCAGCACUUGGACACCUAUCGCAAACAAAUCAUUCAACAAGCAGCUCUUUGAGGAAAGAGUUAGUCUCAUAAGCCAUUGGUUUGAUCUGUGGACAGACAAGCAGCGCAAACAAUUCCUCCACACAAUGUUGAUGAGAUGCAGUAAAUCACAACUGAAAUUUACCCAAAACUGGUUUGCAGAGAGGAUUCCAGUGACCAAAGUGGAUUUCACCAGAGUGCUGCCACGUUUCAUAUCUCUAUACAUCUUCUCCUUUCUCAGCCCCAGGGAGCUGUGUGCAGCUGCCCAAGUCAGCUGGCACUGGAAGUUUAUAACCGAACAGGACUGUUUGUGGGUGCCAAAAUGUGUUAAGUUUGGAUGGUUCCUGCCCUACACUCCAGCAGACAACGAAUACAGUGCUUGGAAGCGACAUUAUAUUGCCUGUGCAUCAAGCUUAGAUUACUUCACCCCAAGAGAAGCCACUGAAAUCUAUGGGACCCUCAAUGAACCAAAACCUGAAAAUGAGGAGAAGGAAGAAAGGCUACGCGAAAAAUGGCUACGAAAAAUUAUUCGGGAGAGAUUAGCAUUACACAAGAAGGAGUUAUUCAAAGCUCGACUGCCUUGGAUGAGUGGGACUUGGAGCUCGAGAUUCUUAAAAUCGCGAUUACAGCCAAGUCAGGCGCAGACGAUCCAGGACGGGGCUAGACUACAGGCAAUUUUGCAACUAAUUAAGGAAAAGAGUGCUCUUUCAAAUCAUACUCUUUCAAUGCUGCUUUCUGAAGAAAUGAAACCUGUAUCAAACUUUAAUCUAGCAGCAGAAAAACAGCUUGUUUUGGCCUCCUUAAAAACUUUGCCCAAAAGAAAGAAUGUGACUGGAAGCAGAUCUGACCUUGUGUUACCUUACAAACAGUGUCAGUGUGUCUACCAAAAACAUAGCAGUUUUGCAUAUCCACUUGAGCCAUACCUGGUUUUGAUAUCAUCCAGGAUUCCUGCAUAUGAGAUGGUGCUGGACAGCAUCAAACCUGGGGUGAUUUCUGUGUUGUAUGAACAUUGCGGAAUGACAUUGGAAAGCCUCCUUUUUUACAUAGAAAAGGCUCUGGAUGGCCGAAAAGCAAAGAGUAUAGGGAUUUUUAGUGAUGGAAACUCCAGAGAGAUCAAUUUACUUCAAGGCUGCAGAAUCAGUAUUGAGAACAUUCUGAGUCCUGAAGUGAGAGAAUUUUGGGAGAAGCUAGGUUGUGUAAUGUCUCCAGAGGAAGGUGGUUAUGUGGACAUCUUUGUUCCUCUGGCAGCAUCAGAGGCAGGGAUAGAAGUCCUUUCCCAGCUGACUCAGCUAACUGGUGUGCUCUUCAGAACCCCCACAGGAAUUGCAACUGGAUCUUAUCAGCACAUCCUUAGUGAAUGGCUGGGAAAACAGAAGGAUGGACCUCCCACCUCCACCUACUUCACUGAAGUAAAACUACAGACAUGGCUCAGAAUGACAGAGCUCCUGGAGGACGCACUGAAAUCUGUCCGGAAGCAGAUGCGACCAUAUUUAAGUGAGCUGCAGAAGAGUAUUAGUGACAGGAUUAUUGGUCAGUUUAUGUUUGAUGCCAUGAGCAGAGCUAAAGUACAUACUAAUCGAGAAACAGCCCAGACUUUCACUGAAGGAUUAGCUGAAUUGUCAAAACGAAGCUAUGAGGAGGAUGCAAAAGAGGCUGCCACCCAGAGCCAAAAGCCUAACUGCCACAUCAGAGCAAAUGAGCCAACAUUUGAGGCGGUGGCUCAGUUGGAUAAAAAACUUCAGGGGGACACCGCAGACAGACGAACUAGAAUUGCCAGGGAGCUCCUGACAAGUGAGAAGAACUAUGUACACAUGCUGGAAACUGUGAGGGAUGUUUAUGUUACACCACUGAAAGCAGCAUUAGCAUCCAAUCGAGCCAUCCUAAGUCAUGCUAAUGUUCAAAUCAUCUUCUCUGAUAUCUUGGAUGUCUUACAACUCAAUAGGCAGUUUUUAAAUGAGCUGACAGAAAGACUUCGGGAAUGGAGUCCAUCCCAGUGCUUGGGUGAAAUAUUCACUCAAUUUGGCUGGCAGCUUCAAACAUAUACAAACUUCUUCAACAACUACACUGUCAUUCUGAAAACCAUUGAUAUGUGCAGAGAGACCAUUCCUUUAUUCCGUGCCUUCCUGAAAAGACACGAUAAGACUGUCGUUACUAACAUGAUGAGCCUACAGGAGCUGCUGCUAUGUCCUUCUAAAAGGUUUGAAGAGUAUCUUAAUCUUCUUUAUGCUCUGAGACUGCACACUCCUUCAGAACACGCUGACCAUGAAGAUUUGACUGCUGCAAUCAAGAUGAUGAAACAAUACAAGGAAUACAUAGAUCAGCUAAAACUGAACAUGAGCAAAGAUGAGCAAAUGCUAAAUGCACAAAGAAUCAUCCAGGGAUGUCCUAAUUUAUUAGAAGCCAACAGGUACCUGAUUAGAAUACAAGAUGUAACCCAGUUUAGCUGCUGUUCUGAGGAAAUCUGUGUUUCAUUCAGGGUCUAUGAACACAUCAGCAAUCUUAGCCUUUUUCUUUUCAACGAUGCACUUGUUAUUUCAAACCGUAGCAUCUCUUAUAUGCCAUUUGAACGGACCCCAAAAACAACUUACCAGUUCUUGGCAGCAGUAGCGCUUCACAGGCUUGUUAUAGAAGACAUUCCACGUUCAAAAUAUAUCACGAAUGCAUUUAUUCUACAAGGCCCAAAACGCCAAUGGAUUUGUUCUAUAGAGGAUGAAGAUGAUAAAUUUACAUGGCUGUCUGCACUGCAAAGUGCAAUCAACUGUAGCAUUGAGAAGAAAUGAGAUUCAUCUUAGUGUUUAGGAUGCCCAAUUUCUGUAGUAUGUGCUAAUUAUUUGUGAACAGAUAUUUUGUGCAGUCUCCUACUCCGAGAAACUUUUGUUCAAAUUUUGCAUCAUUACCAAGAAGUUAGCAUUCCUUUUGAGAGAGUACUAUCAUGUGUGCGCCUCAGACUGCAGGAACUUAUGGUAGAAUCAACACUCGUCAACCUGUAGCUGAAACUGAAAUCACCCAACAAGGACUACUGUAGAAGGUAUUUAAGCAGCAUAGUAGCAAAAAUAGUGUACAUCUCUUUGAACGGAUAAAACCUACCCUUCCCAAAGUGCUCUUCUGGAGUUCAACUGAAACAGCAGGAAGGUGAAAGACAAAAAAAGGCAGAUGGAAUAUUGGAGGCUAAAGGCUACACAACAAUUCAGAAUUGAACAGUGUGAGAGGAGAAACCCUGAGCAAUACCAAGGUGUGCUGGAGCAAAAUGUUGGUUCAUUGCUUGCGAGUGUUGUAGUGAUUGAUACCAAUGGAAGAGUGCCUUCAAGCACAAAAGUAGUACACCAAAUCAUUUAAAGCACUCCUGGACGUAUCUUGGGUUUUUUUAGCGUACAGCUUGUUAAUUUUAACCUUUUGUUUUUAAAAUAGUUUGGGAAUUACACAAUGGUCUCC
Molecule: RNA transcript, 6539 nt
Organism: Mauremys reevesii (Reeves's turtle)
Lineage: Eukaryota; Metazoa; Chordata; Testudines; Geoemydidae
Gene: ECT2L
Gene name: epithelial cell transforming 2 like
Exons: 23
Source: RefSeq, a predicted model, not a curated record